Molecule: ribosomal RNA, 368 nt
Filed under: uncultured organism
Description: bacterial SSU rRNA
Rfam family: Bacterial small subunit ribosomal RNA
Source: RNAcentral
CGUAGGUGGCAAGCGUUGUCCGGAUUUAUUGGGUUUAAAGGGUGCGUAGGCGGUCUAUUAAGUCAGUGGUGAAAUACUCUAGCUCAACUAGAGGGGUGCCAUUGAUACUGAUGGACUUGAGUACAGAUGAGGUAGGCGGAAUUGACGGUGUAGCGGUGAAAUGCUUAGAUAUCGUCAAGAACACCUAUAGCGAAGGCAGCUUACUAGGCUGUAACUGACGCUGAGGCACGAAAGUGUGGGGAUCGAACAGGAUUAGAUACCCUGGUAGUCCACACUGUAAACGUUGAUUACUCGCUGUGUGCGAUAUACAGUACGCGGCCAAGCGAAAGCGAUAAGUAAUCCACCUGGGGAGUACGCCGGCAACGGUG